GACGAACGCUGGCGGCGUGCUUAACACAUGCAAGUCGAACGGAAAGGCCCUGCUUUUGUGGGGUGCUCGAGUGGCGAACGGGUGAGUAACACGUGAGUAACCUGCCCUUGACUUUGGGAUAACUUCAGGAAACUGGGGCUAAUACCGGAUAGGAGCUCCUGCUGCAUGGUGGGGGUUGGAAAGUUUCGGCGGUUGGGAUGGACUCGCGGCUUAUCAGCUUGUUGGUGGGGUAGUGGCUUACCAAGGCUUUGACGGGUAGCCGGCCUGAGAGGGUGACCGGCCACAUUGGGACUGAGAUACGGCCCAGACUCCUACGGGAGGCAGCAGUGGGGAAUAUUGCACAAUGGGCGGAAGCCUGAUGCAGCAACGCCGCGUGCGGGAUGACGGCCUUCGGGCUGUAAACCGCUUUCGCCUGUGACGAAGCGUGAGUGACGGUAAUGGGUAAAGAAGCACCGGCUAACUACGUG
RNAcentral lists this ribosomal RNA (467 nucleotides) under uncultured bacterium. RNAcentral describes it as "partial 16S ribosomal RNA". It matches the Rfam family "Bacterial small subunit ribosomal RNA", at positions 28 to 507 of the family's 1533-position model. The record is from RNAcentral.